RNAcentral lists this ribosomal RNA (468 nucleotides) under uncultured bacterium. RNAcentral describes it as "partial 16S ribosomal RNA". It matches the Rfam family "Bacterial small subunit ribosomal RNA", at positions 28 to 507 of the family's 1533-position model. The record is from RNAcentral.
GACGAACGCUGGCGGCGUGCUUAACACAUGCAAGUCGAACGGAAAGGCCCUGCUUUUGUUGGGUGCUCGAUUGGCGAAGGGGUGAGUAAAACGUGAGUAACCUGCCCUUGACUGUGGGAUAACUUCAGGAAACUGGGGCUAAUAUCGGAGAGGAGCUCCUGCUGCAUGGUGGUGGUUGGAAAGUUUCGGCGGUUGGGGAUGGACUCGCGGGUUAUCAGCUUGUUGGUGGGGUAGUGGCUUACCAAGGCUUUGACGGGUAGCCGGCCUGAGAGGGUGACCGGCCACAUUGGGCCUGAGAUACGGACCAGACUCCUACGGGAGGCAGCAGUGGGGAAUAUUGCACAAUGGGCGGGAGCCUGAUGCAGCAACGCCGCGUGCGGGAUGACGGCCUUCGGGUUGUAAACCGCUUUCGCCUGUGACGAAGCGUUAGUGACGGUAAUGGGUAAAGAAGCACCGGCUAACUACGUG